UUCAAAAGUUAACUCAACAGCCUCUUCCAUGGGCACUAUAUAAAUGAUCAUGUCAUGCAUUUGUAAGCACCCUCCAUCUAUGCAGUAAUGAAACAUCUAACAAUUUACACCAAUCAGAAGAAAUUCCUAACUUCUUUGCUAGUCGGAAGAAACAACAGCAAACACUUGAUGCUUCAAUCUGUCAGCAAGCUGCAGCAGCUACUUCAAAUAGUAUCCACCCAAUUCACAAGGAAAUUCACAGCCAGCUGGAGAGGGUAUCAGUGACCGUUUUAGGGGAAAUGUGCUCUGUGGGAUAGAGAGAAAAGAUACUUUGCACAUAGAAAUGUGCCAAGGCUGGUCAACACAGAAGAAAUGACUCAAGGUUCCAUAAUAGAGAAAAAGUGAUCUUUUAAAAACAAUAAAA
Molecule: long non-coding RNA, 403 nt
Organism: Monodelphis domestica (gray short-tailed opossum)
Lineage: Eukaryota; Metazoa; Chordata; Mammalia; Didelphimorphia; Didelphidae
Source: RefSeq, a predicted model, not a curated record